RNAcentral lists this ribosomal RNA (253 nucleotides) under uncultured bacterium. Its description in RNAcentral is "partial 16S ribosomal RNA". It matches the Rfam family "Bacterial small subunit ribosomal RNA", at positions 524 to 776 of the family's 1533-position model. The record is from RNAcentral.
GACGAGGGAUCCUAGCGUUGUUCGGAAUUACUGGGCGUAAAGGGCUCGUAGGCGGCCAACUAAGUCAGACGUGAAAUCCCUCGGCUUAACCGGGGAACUGCGUCUGAUACUGGAUGGCUAGAGGUUGGGAGAGGGAUGCGGAAUUCCAGGUGUAGCGGUGAAAUGCGUAGAUAUCUGGAGGAACACCGGUGGCGAAGGCGGCAUCCUGGACCAAUUCUGACGCUGAGGAGCGAAAGCCAGGGGAGCAAACGGG